This 253-nucleotide ribosomal RNA is filed under the name uncultured bacterium. RNAcentral's name for it is "partial 16S ribosomal RNA". It matches the Rfam family "Bacterial small subunit ribosomal RNA", at positions 524 to 776 of the family's 1533-position model. The record is from RNAcentral.
UACAGAGGUCUCAAGCGUUGUUCGGAUUCAUUGGGCGUAAAGGGUGCGUAGGUGGCGAUGUAAGUCUGGUGUGAAAUCUCGGGGCUCAACCUCGAAAUGGCAUUGGAUACUGCGUUGCUUGAGGAUUGUAGAGGAGAGUGGAAUUCACGGUGUAGCAGUGAAAUGCGUAGAUAUCGUGAGGAAGACCAGUUGCGAAGGCGACUCUCUGGGCAAUUCCUGACACUGAGGCACGAAGGCCAGGGGAGCAAACGGG